RNAcentral lists this ribosomal RNA (468 nucleotides) under uncultured bacterium. RNAcentral describes it as "partial 16S ribosomal RNA". It matches the Rfam family "Bacterial small subunit ribosomal RNA", at positions 28 to 507 of the family's 1533-position model. The record is from RNAcentral.
GACGAACGCUGGCGGCGUGCUUAACACAUGCAAGUCGAACGGAAAGGCCCUGCUUUUGUGGGGUGCUCGAGUGGCGAACGGGUGAGUAACACGUGAGUAACCUGCCCUUGACUUUGGGAUAACUUCAGGAAACUGGGGCUAAUACCGGAUAGGAGCUCCUGCUGCAUGGUGGGGGUUGGAAAGUUUCGGCGGUUGGGGAUGGACUCGCGGCUUAUCAGCUUGUUGGUGGGGUAGUGGCUUACCAAGGCUUUGACGGGUAGCCGGCCUGAGAGGGUGACCGGCCACGUUGGGACUGAGAUACGGCCCAGACUCCUACGGGAGGCAGCAGUGGGGAAUAUUGCACAAUGGGCGGAAGCCCGAUGCAGCAACGCCGCGUGCGGGAUGACGGCCUUCGGGUUGUAAACCGCUUUCGCCUGUGACGAAGCGUGAGUGACGGUAAUGGGUAAAGAAGCACCGGCUAACUACGUG